Centropristis striata (black sea bass) is the source of this 3315-nucleotide long non-coding RNA. RefSeq lists it as uncharacterized. The transcript is spliced from 2 exons. Lineage: Eukaryota; Metazoa; Chordata; Actinopteri; Perciformes; Serranidae. The record is from RefSeq and is a predicted model, not a curated record.
AGGUGAUGGAGAGGACUUUGAAGUGGAUUCCCUGGGGGAUUGGGAGCCAGUGGAGGUUAUAAAGGACAGGAGUGAUGUGUACGAGAGUGGGUGAGGAGACGAGCAGCAGAGUUUUGGAUAUACUGUAGUCUCUUGAGUGUUUUGGAUGCUGAACCAUAGAUCAGGCUAUUGCAGUAGUUGAGUCUGGAUUUGAAGAAUGCGUGGGUGAGGGUCUCAGCAGCUGGAAAGGUUAGCGAUGGACGGAGGCAGGCAAUGUUCCUGAGGUGAAAGAAGGCUGUUUUAGUGCCGUUUUUGAUGUGCUAGUUGAAGGAGAGGGUUUAAUCGAAGGUGACACACCCCAGCGAAUCCACUUCAAAGUCCUCACCAUCACCACAAAGCCCUCCAUAACCAGGUCCCCCGCUACCUGUCUCAGCUCCUCCACCAGCAAAAUCCAUCCCGCUCUCUACGGUCUGCUGACGCCAACCUCCAACAGGAAAACUGGACCCUUCUCAACCACACUCACCAAACAAGGAAGUUCAAUAUCAAUGGAUCACAAAUGGAAAACUGGACUCUUCUCAACCACACUGGCCAAACAAGGAAGUUCAAAAUCAAUGGAUCACAAAUGGAAAACAGGAAAACUGGACCCUUCUCAACCACACUCGCCAAACAAGGAAGUUCAAUAUCAAUGGAUCACAAAUGGAAAACUGGACUCUUCUGAACCACACUCACCAAACAAGGAAGUUCAAUAUCAAUGGAUCACAAAUGGAAAACUGGACUCUUCUCAACCACACUGGCCAAACAAGGAAGUUCAAAAUCAAUGGAUCAGAAAUGGAAAACAGGAAAACUGGACCCUUCUCAACCACACUGACCAAACAAGGAAGUUCAAUAUCUCUUAGAGUCUGCAUGUACGGGGCCUAAGUUGGUAUUGUUCUGUCCAUCAAAAGGAUUCCCACAACUAUCACAGCCGGAAAACUGGACUCUUCUCAACCACACCCUCCAAACAAGGAAGUUCAAUAUCAAUGGAUCACAAAUGGAAAACUGGACUCAUCUCAACCACACUCGCCAAACAAGGAAGUUCAAAAUCAAUGGAUCACAAAUGGAAAACUGGACUCUUCUCAACCACACUGGCCAAACAAGGAAGUUCAAAAUCAAUGGAUCACAAAUGGAAAACAGGAAAACUGGACUCUUCUCAACCACACCCUCCAAACAAGGAAGUUCAAUAUCAAUGGAUCACAAAUGGAAAACUGGACUCAUCUCAACCACACUCGCCAAACAAGGAAGUUCAAAAUCAAUGGAUCACAAAUGGAAAACUGGACUCUUCUCAACCACACUGGCCAAACAAGGAAGUUCAAAAUCAAUGGAUCACAAAUGGAAAACUGGACUCUUCUCAAUCACACUGGCCAAACAAGGAAGUUCAAAAUCAAUGGAUCACAAAUGGAAAACAGGAAAACUGGACCCUUCUCAACCACACUGACCAAACAAGGAAGUUCAAUAUCUCUUAGAGUCUGCAUGUACGGGGCCUAAGUUGGUAUUGUUCUGUCCAUCAAAAGGAUUCCCACAACUAUCACAGCCGGAAAACUGGACUCUUCUCAACCACACCCUCCAAACAAGGAAGUUCAAUAUCAAUGGAUCACAAAUGGAAAACUGGACUCUUCUCAACCACACUCACCAAACAAGGAAGUUCAAUAUCAAUGGAUCACAAAUGGAUAACUGGACUCAUCUCAACCACACUCGCCAAACAAGGAAGUUCAAAAUCAAUGGAUCACAAAUGGAAAACAGGAAAACUGGACCCUUCUCAACCACACUCGCCAAACAAGGAAGUUCAAUAUCUCUUAGAGUCCGCAUGUACGGGGCCUAAGGUGGUAUUGUUCUGUCCAUCAAAAGGAUUUCCACAACCCAUCAACAAUCCCCAUCACCAACAACUACAAUGAAGACUUCAUGUUGCUGUUACAUCGUGAUUUUAUGCUGUAGGGGAACAUCAAAGAGACACCAACAGCAGAAGGAGAAACACAACAUAUCACAAAGCAAAUUUAAGUACACUUUUUCUUUGAAAUAAGAUUUGUUUCCAGUAGUUUUGUAAUUUACUAAAGAUAUAUUGUUCAUCUGUACUCAGAAAACACUGAAUUAAUGCUAUUGUGUUUUUCUUUCCCUUUCCCUUUCCCUUUCCAAAAAAAACAACAAAAAAAACAAAAAAAAACCCCUCUUUUCUCUUCUUCUUUUCAUUCAACAUAUUGCACUCCUGUAGCGAUGACAGUUAGCUCUUAAAGUUAUGUACUUACUUGAUUCCUGUGUUCUAUGUCUAGUACCAUCAGGUUGAAUGCACUUGUCGCUUCAUCUAAUUAAGGAUUUUUUCUCCUUUUUUCUUUUCCUAUUUGUUUUUUUUGUUUUGUGAUUUUGCCAUAAAUGUGACACCUGAUGAACACCAUGCAAAGAAGUUUACAUCAUGAUUUUGUGCUGAAGGGGAACAUCAAAGAGACACCAACAGCAUAAGGAGAAACACAACAUAAACAACAAAAUAAAUUUAAGUACUCUUUUCCUUUGAAAUAAAAUUAGUAUCCAGUAGUUUUGUAAUUCACUAAAGAUAUAUUGUUCAUCUGUACUCAGAAAACACUGAAUUAAUGCUAUUGUGUUUUUCUUUCCCUUUCCCUUUCCCUUUCCAAAAAAAACAACAAAAAAACCAAAAAAAAAACCCUCUUUUCUCUUCUUCUUUUCAUUCAACAUAUUGCACUCCUGUAGCGAUGACAGUUAGCUCUUAAAGUUAUGUACUUACUUGAUUCCUGUGUUCUAUGUCUAGUACCAUCAGGUUGAAUGCACUUGUCGCUUCAUCUAAUUAAUGAUUUUUUCUCCUUUUUUCUUUUCCUAUUUGUUUUUUUUGUUUUGUGAUUUUGCCAUAAAUGUGACACCUGAUGAACACCAUGCAAAGAAGGUUACAUCAUGAUUUUGUGCUGAAGGGGAACAUCAAAGAGACACCAACAGCAUAAGGAGAAACACAACAUAAACAACAAAAUAAAUUUAAGUACUCUUUUCCUUUGAAAUAAAAUUAGUAUCCAGUAGUUUUGUAAUUUACUAAAGAUAUAUUGUUCAUCUGUACUCAGAAAACACUGAAUUAAUGCUAUUGUGUUUUUCUUUCCCUUUCCCUUUCCCUUUCCAAAAAAAACAACAAAAAAAACAAAAAAAAAACCCUCUUUUCUCUUCUUCUUUUCAUUCAACAUAUUGCACUCCUGUAGCGAUGACAGUUAGCUCUUAAAGUUAUGUACUUACUUGAUUCCUGUGUUCUAUGUCUAGUACCAUCAGGUUGAAUGCACUUGUCGCUUCAUCUAAUUAAUGAUUUUUUCU